AAAAUGCGAUAAGUAAUGUGAAUUGCAGAAUUCAGUGAAUCAUCGAAUCUUUGAACGCACAUUGCGCCCGCCAGUAUUCUGGCGGGCAUGCCUGUUCGAGCGUCAUUUCAACCCUCAAGCUCAGCUUGGUGUUGGGACUCGCGGUAACCCGCGUUCCCCAAAUCGAUUGGCGGUCACGUCGAGCUUCCAUAGCGUAGUAAUCAUACACCUCGUUACUGGUAAUCGUCGCGGCCACGCCGUAAAACCCCAACUUCUGAAUGUUGACCUCGGAUCAGGUAGGAAUACCCGCUGAACAUAAGC
This 300-nucleotide unclassified non-coding RNA is filed under the name plant metagenome. RNAcentral's name for it is "partial contains 5.8S ribosomal RNA, internal transcribed spacer 2, and large subunit ribosomal RNA". The stretch from base 1 to 105 matches the Rfam family "5.8S ribosomal RNA", at positions 50 to 154 of the family's 154-position model. The record is from RNAcentral.